AACGAUUAGAAUGUGACCUGGGACCAAUGUUCAAAUUGGUUUGCUCUUUAUUAAAGCAUCACAAUAUUUCUGAAUCAAGCAAACAAACUAGGAGAUAAAUGUAGAAAUGUCUGCCUACUUUUCACAUCUUUUAUCCUUACCCCGAAACAAGAGCUACUGUGUUUGUUAGUACAAUCGGCUGUGUGUUCAGUGCCAGAACACUUUUAUGAGACUGUGCCUACAUGCGAGUAAGCCCACACGUGUGCCAGAGCUCUUCCCUGACAGCAGUUCCUAUGCUCUGCAGUGUGCUGUGAAGUAUUCUGAUGCCAGUGUUUAUAACAGAGAUGCCGCCACUCCUAUAAAUACAUCUGUGGUCAACUACUGUCUUCAGAAGACCGGCAUUGACUUUCAUUAGGGAAUUACAGUGGGGAAAUGAUAGAUAAUAGAUGUUAUGAGUAAUUCAAUACAUUAUGCUGUAAAACCACCUCCAAAUUAUCUAGC
This 480-nucleotide long non-coding RNA is filed under the name Androctonus crassicauda. Lineage: Eukaryota; Metazoa; Arthropoda; Arachnida; Scorpiones; Buthidae. The record is from RNAcentral.